GAUUCACACUGUCUUUCAGACUAGAGGGACAAAUAUGAUUUCACAGACUCAUCUCAUCUGGCUCCUAGUGCUCUGGAUUCAGGAUGCCAAGGGGCAGAUUGUGCUGACUCAGACUCCAGAAUCCCUGGCAGUGUCUCCAGGAGACAGAGUCACCAUCAACUGCAAAGCCAGUUCUAGUGCUGGCGGAUAUGUGGCCUGGUACCAACAGAAAUCAGGACAAGCUCCUAAGCUCCUUAUCUACGGCCCUUCCACCCGUCCCUCUGGGGUCCCAGACCGGUUCAGUGGCAGUGAGUCUGGCACUGACUUCACUUUUACAAUCAGCCAGGUAGAAGCUGAUGAUGCUGGAGAUUAUUAUUGACAGAGCUUACUUCUCACAGUGAUACAGACCAGAACAAAAACCUUCAUUCCAUUUCUGUUACUCAGUGUAACAG
Non-coding RNA from Gopherus evgoodei (Goodes thornscrub tortoise), 431 nucleotides. Lineage: Eukaryota; Metazoa; Chordata; Testudines; Testudinidae. The record is from the annotation of a RefSeq genome assembly.